GUUGUAUGGUUAAGUGACUAAGCGUACACGGUGGAUGCCUUGGCAGUCAGAGGCGAUGAAAGACGUAGUAACUUGCGAUAAGCCCAGAUUAGGUAGUAACAACCAUUUGAGUCUGGGAUUUCUGAAUGGGGAAACCCACGUGCAUAAGCACGUAUCCUUACCUGAAUACAUAGGGUAAGGAGGCGAACCGGGGGAACUGAAACAUCUAAGUACCCCGAGGAAAAGAAAUCAACCGAGAUUCCGAAAGUAGCGGCGAGCGAAAUUGGACUAGCCCUUAAGCUUUACACGCGUUAGACGAACGGUCUGGAAAGUCCGACGAUACAGGGUGAUAGUCCCGUAGUUGACGACGUGUGUUCAGUGAAAUCGAGUAGGGCGGGACACGUGAUAUCCUGUCUGAAUAUGGGGGGACCAUCCUCCAAGGCUAAAUACUACUGACUGACCGAUAGUGAACCAGUACCGUGAGGGAAAGGCGAAAAGAACCCCUGUGAGGGGAGUGAAAUAGAACCUGAAACCGUGUACGUACAAGCAGUAGGAGCACCUUCGUGGUGUGACUGCGUACCUUUUGUAUAAUGGGUCAGCGACUUAUAUUCAGUGGCAAGGUUAACCAUCUAGGGGAGCCGUAGGGAAACCGAGUCUUAACUGGGCGUUCAGUCUCUGGAUAUAGACCCGAAACCAGGUGAUCUAGCCAUGGGCAGGUUGAAGGUUGAGUAACAUCAACUGGAGGACCGAACCGACUAAUGUUGAAAAAUUAGCGGAUGACUUGUGGCUAGGGGUGAAAGGCCAAUCAAACCUGGAGAUAGCUGGUUCUCCCCGAAAGCUAUUUAGGUAGCGCCUCGGACGAAUACUACUGGGGGUAGAGCACUGUUAAGGCUAGGGGGUCAUCCCGACUUACCAACCCUUUGCAAACUCCGAAUACCAGUAAGUACUAUCCGGGAGACACACGGCGGGUGCUAACGUCCGUCGUGGAGAGGGAAACAACCCAGACCGCCAGCUAAGGUCCCAAAUUACUACUAAGUGGGAAACGAUGUGGGAAGGCUCAGACAGCCAGGAUGUUGGCUUAGAAGCAGCCAUCAUU
RNAcentral lists this ribosomal RNA (1075 nucleotides) under Vibrio parahaemolyticus. RNAcentral describes it as "partial 23S ribosomal RNA". It matches the Rfam family "Bacterial large subunit ribosomal RNA", at positions 1 to 1123 of the family's 2925-position model. The record is from RNAcentral. Lineage: Bacteria; Pseudomonadati; Pseudomonadota; Gammaproteobacteria; Vibrionales; Vibrionaceae.